This 909-nucleotide ribosomal RNA is filed under the name uncultured bacterium. RNAcentral's name for it is "bacterial SSU rRNA". It matches the Rfam family "Bacterial small subunit ribosomal RNA", at positions 8 to 915 of the family's 1533-position model. The record is from RNAcentral.
AGAGUUUGAUCCUGGCUCAGGAUGAACGCUAGCGGCAGGCUUAAUACAUGCAAGUCGAACGGGAUUCGGAGUAGCAAUACUUUGAUGAGAGUGGCGCACGGGUGCGUAACGCGUAUGCAACCUACCUUUAACAGGGGAAUAGCCCCGAGAAAUCGGGAUUAAUACUCCGUAACAUUGCGGUGUGGCAUCACACUGCAAUUAAAGAUUUAUCGGUUAAAGAUGGGCAUGCGUGACAUUAGCUUGUUGGUGAGGUAACGGCUCACCAAGGCAACGAUGUCUAGGGGUCCUGAGAGGGUUAUCCCCCACACUGGUACUGAGACACGGACCAGACUCCUACGGGAGGCAGCAGUAAGGAAUAUUGGUCAAUGGGCGCAAGCCUGAACCAGCCAUGCCGCGUGCAGGAAGACGGCCCUAUGGGUUGUAAACUGCUUUUAUCAGGGAAUAAACCCCCGCUCGUGAGCGGGGCUGAAGGUACCUGAAGAAUAAGCAUCGGCUAACUCCGUGCCAGCAGCCGCGGUAAUACGGAGGAUGCAAGCGUUAUCCGGAUUCAUUGGGUUUAAAGGGUGCGCAGGCGGAUUGGUAAGUCAGGGGUGAAAUCCCACAGCUCAACUGUGGAACUGCCUUUGAUACUGUCAGUCUAGAGUAUAGUUGAAGUUGGCGGAAUGUGUCAUGUAGCGGUGAAAUGCUUAGAUAUGACACAGAACACCGAUCGCGAAGGCAGCUAGCUAAGCUAUAACUGACGCUCAUGCACGAAAGCGUGGGGAUCAAACAGGAUUAGAUACCCUGAUAGUCCACGCUGUAAACGAUGAUUACUCGAUGUUGGCGAUACACAGUCAGCGUCUGAGCGAAAGCAAUAAGUAAUCCACCUGGGGAGUACGAUCGCAAGAUGGAAACUCAAAGGAAUUGACG